AAUCGCGGCUCCGGCUGGGGAGGCGGGGCCACGUCGGCGCACGUCGACGCUCAAAUAAACUUUAUUGUCAGCUUCCUGGUUGUACAAUAGGCAGAAAACCACCGGGAAGCCACUUUCCUUUCUUUCUUGCUAUAGCAUGCAGAGAAUAGUAUAUGUAGGCUUUUGGUAUUCGCUGUACCUCCCGUUGGAUUACAGAAUUACUGUUUAGUGUUUUGAGUGCAUUCAUUCAUUUUAUUACUCCUCCUACAUAACAGGUGCUCUUCUAACACUGGUAAUACAAAGACUACAAAGCAAGGUCCCUAUAGUAAGAUGCUUUCAGACUAAUUGGGAGUGAUCCACAGACAGUGGAGAGAGAGCAGUGAACAAGACAGACCAGGCCCCUAUUUUCAUGGAGUUUAAAAGGCUAAUGAGGGAAACAAUAAACAGAUAAGUAUAAACUAAGGCUUGAAGAUGGUGAGGCAUUCACCAUGCAGUCAAAAGGGUAACCUAGUUUGAGGGAAGAGGAUGUAUAAAGGCAAGAAAUGAGCAACAGCAUGGCCCAGAGGGACUAGAGCUUAUAGGGGCUGGAGGGUGAGAGGGAAUGACAGCUGAUAAGACUAUAGACAAAGGCAGGGCUCUGAUAAGGAAAAGCCUCUCAUGGCAAGCUAAGGGGAGCUAUUGAAAUUCUUGGGGGUAAGCCAACUAUGUACGUUUCAUUUCAUUUCAUUAAUUAAGAUUUUAAUUAAACACUUAGGAUCUGAGGAGCAUACAAAUGAGUAAACUACAGUCUCUAUUUUCAGGAAGUUUAAGUAUAAUGACAAAUAUAGAUGUGUAAAUAAAUACUUAUAAUCUGGAGUUAGAAAGAGUAAGUGAAUUACAAGAAAUAUAAAAUGUACUACAAAGAAGUACAGGCCAGGUGCAGAAGCUCAUGCCUGUAGUCCCAGCACUUUGGGAGGCUGAGGUGGGAGGAUAGUUCAAGCCCAGGAGUUUGAGACCAGCCUAGGCAACAUAGUGAGACUUUGUCUCUAUUAAAACUAAAAAAAAAAAAAAAAGAAGAAAGAAAAAUUAGCCUGGCAUGCUCGUGUGUGCCUGUGGACCCAGCUACUCAGGAGGCUGAGGUGGGAGGAUCACUUGAGCCUGCAAGGUUGAGGCUGCAGUGAGCCAUGAUCACACCAACCUGUGCAACAUGUAAGACCCCAUCUCAAAAAUAAUAAUAAUAAAAAGAAGUACAGAGGCUAGAAUACAGCUUUAGUUUUAAGGGGGCACUGUAAGAUAAUCUGUAUUUUUCAAUUAAGGUGCUUAUAGAGUGAAUCAAGAAAAUCAGUUCAAGAGUGUCUCAUUUCCAACAAAAUUUGAUCAAAGAUAUGGCUAUAAUCUCAUAUUGUAGUGCAUGCUAGUUGUAUAAUUAAUGAAAUACUAACCAAAAAAUGAAAAAAUGAACCAAUCAUGGAAGGGAAAAUAAUAAAUACUUACAUAUAAAUAAUAAAUUAAAAAGGGGGAAAAAUACAAUUGCAGACCAUGAAUUUCUUUAAAAAAAUAAGGAAAAACAUCUCUUACCAUUUGUUUUCUGAAAUUGACCUUUCAAGGCAAAAAAUGAAGUUGUUUGCUCCUGGCCUAGUCUUUCCACUUCAGGGUCCCCAUUGUCAGCAACUUAAGACUGUCCCUAGUCAUCAGCCCCGGCCACCACCAGGAGUGGGGAGGUUGGAGGAAGAUUCAGAUGAUGCAGAAUGCUAAAGUGUCAGGGGAUACUUGAGCAGGGGAUAAAGCAAACUUUGGGAAAGAAGUAUAAAAUAAAUAUUAAUCCAUUUUUUAUGUUAAAACCCAGUUAUCUUUUUUUUUCUCUGAAUUUGAAGGAGUUCUUUGACCUAUUCUGAAUGGAGUGUCCAACACCAUUAUUGUGGGUGAUUGAGACUCAUCCGUAUGAACUAUUCACCUUCGUACCUCCCGUUUACAACUCAGCAUUGCUGGAAGAGCUGAACAGCCGCAUGGAUCAUUUUUCAAUUAUAGAAAAACAAAUUCUAAGCCUGAGAGAAAAAGUGCAUGAGAAAGAAAGGGAGGAAUAUAGCUGCUAGCAGACAAGACAUAUACUUCCCAGCUCCACCACUGUGACUCUUUUAAUUCAAAGAGAUUUUUCAAUUUUCCAGUGAGAUUCUGGCCUCAAUUCCUGUCCUAGGCUCAGAAAAAGCACAAUAGUUUCUUUAUACAUCUUUUCUUUUAAAAAGCUCCCUGGAAAAUAUUGUAAAUAUGCUACUAUAUUGAGGUUUGAUAAUAAAGGGAAAAAUUUUGCUCUUUA
Homo sapiens (human) is the source of this 2272-nucleotide long non-coding RNA. RefSeq lists it as uncharacterized. The record is from RefSeq and is a predicted model, not a curated record. The transcript has 3 exons. Lineage: Eukaryota; Metazoa; Chordata; Mammalia; Primates; Hominidae.